Molecule: ribosomal RNA, 521 nt
Filed under: uncultured bacterium
Lineage: Bacteria
Description: bacterial SSU rRNA
Rfam family: Bacterial small subunit ribosomal RNA
Source: RNAcentral
CAUGCAAGUCGAACGGAGUUACUUUGGUGAAGUUUUCGGAUGGAUCUGAUUUAACUUAGUGGCGGACGGGUGAGUAAUGCGUGAGCAACCUGCCCUUCAGAGGGGGACAACAGUUGGAAACGACUGCUAAUACCGCAUAAUGUAUUCGGAAGGCAUCUUCUGGAUACCAAAGGAGAAAUCCGCUGAUGGAUGGGCUCACGUCUGAUUAGCUAGUUGGUGAGGUAACGGCUCACCAAGGCUGCGAUCAGUAGCCGGACUGAGAGGUUGAACGGCCACAUUGGGACUGAGAUACGGCCCAGACUCCUACGGGAGGCAGCAGUGGGGAAUAUUGGGCAAUGGGCGAAAGCCUGACCCAGCAACGCCGCGUGAAGGAAGAAGGCCUUCGGGUUGUAAACUUCUUUUAAGAGGGACGAAGAAGUGACGGUACCUCUUGAAUAAGCCACGGCUAACUACGUGCCAGCAGCCGCGGUAAUACGUAGGUGGCGAGCGUUAUCCGGAUUUACUGGGUGUAAAGGGCGCGU